UACGGGAGGCAGCAGUGGGGAAUUUUCCGCAAUGGGCGAAAGCCUGACGGAGCAAUACCGCGCGAGGGAUGACGGCCUAUGGGUUGUAAACCUCUUUUUUCAGGGAGGAAUUAAUGACGUGUACCUGAAGAAUAAGCAUCGGCUAACUCCGUGCCAGCAGCCGCGGUAAGACGGGGGAUGCAAGUGUUAUCCGGAAUCACUGGGCGUAAAGCGUCUGUAGGUGGUUUGAUAAGUCAACUGUUAAAUCUUGAGGCUUAACCUCAAAAUCGCAGUCGAAACUAUUAGACUAGAGUAUAGUAGGGGUAAAGGGAAUUUCCAGUGGAGCGGUGAAAUGCGUAGAUAUUGGAAGGAACACCGAUGGCGAAGGCACUUUACUGGGCUAUUACUAACACUCAGAGACGAAAGCUAGGGUAGCAAAUGGGAUUAGAUACCCCAGUAGUCCUAGCUGUAAACCAUGGAUACUAGAUGUUGAACAGAUCGACCUGUGCAGUAUCAAAGCUAACGCGUUAAGUAUCCCGCCUGGGAAGUAUGCUCGCAAGAGUGAAACUCAAAGGAAUUGACGGAAGGG
RNAcentral lists this ribosomal RNA (568 nucleotides) under uncultured bacterium. RNAcentral describes it as "bacterial SSU rRNA". It matches the Rfam family "Bacterial small subunit ribosomal RNA", at positions 340 to 921 of the family's 1533-position model. The record is from RNAcentral.